CAGCCGCCGCGGUAAUACAUAGGUCCCGAGCGUUAUCCGGAUUUACUGGGCGUAAAGAGUCUGUAGCCGGACAUGUAAGUCUAUUUUCAAAUACUAUGGCUCAACCAUAGAAAGGGAAUAGAUACUGCAUGACUGGAAGUUAUUGGGGGUUAGUGGAAUUUCAGGUGGAGCGGUGAAAUGCGUUGAUAUCUGAAAGAACGCCGAAAGCGAAAGCAGCUAACUACAAUAAACUUGACGGUAAGAGACGAAAGCUUGGGGAGCGAACGGGAUUAGAUACCCCGGUAGUCCAAGCUGUAAAUUAUGCAUGCUAGAUGUUUUGGACCCUUGUGGUCUGGAGUGUCGUAAUCUAACGAGUUAAGCAUGCCGCCUGGGUAGUAUAUUCGCAAGAAUGAAACUCAAAGGGAUAGGCGGGGGAACACACAAGCAGUGGAUUAUCUAGAUUAAUUGGAUAAUAAGCCAAGAAUCUUACCUAAAUUUGACAUGUACUAUGUCCUAUGUGAAAGCAUAGUAGUCCGAGCAAUCGGACGUGGUACACAGGAGGUGCAUGGCC
This 550-nucleotide ribosomal RNA is filed under the name uncultured archaeon. RNAcentral's name for it is "bacterial SSU rRNA". It matches the Rfam family "Bacterial small subunit ribosomal RNA", at positions 509 to 1050 of the family's 1533-position model. The record is from RNAcentral.